UGAAACACAGCCUGGAUGUGAGGACAUUCAGCGAGUGAAGACAGAGAUCCUGACGUCCGACCGGGAAAGAAAACAAAAAAUCCAAUUUGUUUUUUUACGUGACCCAUGAUUCUAAAAAGAUAUUAUGUAACAAAUGUCAAAAUACACAUAACUACAAAUUAAAAUAAAGAAAUUAAUGAGUUAAGUAAAAGUUCACAAUUUUUAUUUUUUAAAGUGUCAGAAAAUCAAUCAACCAUCAAAAGAGGUCAAGGUCAGUCUUUACUGCUUCCACUGUAGAUGGAGGACAAACAGCAGCAAAGUGAUGCAACUCAAAUGCACCUAAUUAUUUCUACAUAAAAACAAGAAACCUAAGUAUAAAAGUUUGCUGAUUUGGAGUUUUAACAUCCUUAAAUGUAUCAAAAUAUUAUAACAUUAUAGCCUGAAAAGGUCUUCAUUCUACAGUUAAAAAAGACCACUUAAUUGGAGAAAACAUUCAAAUCAACUUUUAGGAACCCACAGAUUACAUGUGCGUCUUAUUUUUUAUAUCAAGAUGCAAUAGACAACAAACUAUUUCCCUCUCGGGGAAUCGGUUUACUCUGAGGUAGAAGGAAGUGGUUUAAACUUGCCUGGCUCUGAGUAAAAAAGUAGCUGCCUCCUCACCUAAAUAACUGGUUGUGCAAAUCUGUAAUUUAGUGAGACACUUAUGACUCUUUCAUGUCGCCGUCCACUUCUGCCUUCUGUGCAGAACAGAUUUUUCAGCUACACUUUCACAGCAUAACUGCCUGUUUAUGGUCAUCACACAGGAAUAAAUCCCCAUCAGGUCCACACUUUGACUUGGAACAGUCCAAAAUCUAAAUCAGAGGAGGACCUGAUAUUUCUGGACGAUUGUCCCAAUGCAGGACCUACUGCAUGAAACCCGAAUGGAGUCAUGAUGUGUUGCUUCUUGAAAUCAUUUUGUCUAUAUAUUUAUAAUAAUGUUUUUCCCUUUUACAGACACCGUCUUGUUUCAUUGUUCGGAUUCAGCAGAAGUGGGUGUGACCAUACCAGGGACGGUUGCUGUGCCACCAAGCAGUAAAGCUGUGCUGCAAUCACAGAAGGCAGCGAGCAGGAGAACCGACCAAAGAAAAGAAACGGACCGCUUGUGAGCCAUAAAAGGCCCGUCUCAAAGGAAAAGGCCAAUUUGGGUGCGUUGGAAUUACUGUGACCCAAUUCAGCCUCCAAAUGGAUAGAAACUGGGGAAAUGGUUCUGCGUGUGCCACACUUUUCUGGGUGUAUUUUUCAUGUGUACGUUCUUCCGUGAUGUUACAUUACUUUCACUCUCUUGCAUAUAAUGUUAUUUUGUGUAUCUUGGAUUGUUUCAGAACACUAGCGAGAGCACACCGCUCCCAUUGCAGCUCAUGUGGAUUUAGCCGUGUUAUUGCCGUGUUGUUCAAUUAUGUCACUUCCUGCAUGCUUUGGACCCAAUGCACAAAUCCCUGCCACUGCACUAGUUAUGAUAACUGCCAUGAGGACAUUUUGACAGCAUGCUUUUCUGGAAAAUAAUUCUCGAGUAGAGUUUCUUCUCAGAUAUUUUCGAGAGAACUUAUUCAUUCAGAUAUUAUUUUUUUUUAACUUGUAGUUUAAGCAGACACUUAUGAAAGACUUCAUCCAAAAAAAAAAAA
Molecule: long non-coding RNA, 1640 nt
Organism: Oryzias latipes (Japanese medaka)
Lineage: Eukaryota; Metazoa; Chordata; Actinopteri; Beloniformes; Adrianichthyidae
Source: RefSeq, a predicted model, not a curated record